RNAcentral lists this non-coding RNA (27 nucleotides) under Mus musculus (house mouse). The record is from RNAcentral. Lineage: Eukaryota; Metazoa; Chordata; Mammalia; Rodentia; Muridae.
UGCUAGUGUAUGCAAUAGUGUCAGCGU